UACUACCGAAGCUACGGCAUCAGUAAUGAUGGGUAGGGGAGCUUCCCAUACGGGUUGAAGCAUGACCGUAAGGACAUGGGGUCAGUAUGGGAGUGAGGAUGUUGGCAUGAGUAGCGAGAUGUGGGUGGGAAUCCCACAGGCCGUAAACCCAAGGUUUCCAGGGGAAGGUUCGUCCGCCCUGGGUUAGUCGGGACCUAAGCUGAGGC
Molecule: ribosomal RNA, 206 nt
Filed under: Clostridioides difficile
Lineage: Bacteria; Bacillati; Bacillota; Clostridia; Peptostreptococcales; Peptostreptococcaceae
Description: partial 23S ribosomal RNA
Rfam family: Bacterial large subunit ribosomal RNA
Source: RNAcentral